UACAUGUGUCGAUUUCCUACAAGUGUUGGGUUUCUUGGAUUUGAGUUUGGGAAGAAUUAUCAGAGAUGGAGCAAGAGAAGACAAAGGGACGAGAUAAGAAGAGGGAGGAAAGGUGAUGUGUUCAAUGGUGGACCUUCUAGAGAUAUCUCAUCUACAAGCACUUUAUUUAUCCUUCGCUCUUAUUUCUCCUAAUCUGAAGAGGACUUAGCUCAUUGCAGGACGAGCCUUUAAGCCAGGGAAAACAACUUCAGUAAUAUCUCAAUGGAAGUUGUUUUCCGUUGCGGGAGGAAAUCAAUCAUUUUACCUGUGAAAAUAUUUUCAUUGCUUUAAAUCUCACCAAACACUGGAAGUUAGAAAAAUCUUUUUCCAGAAAAUAUUUUACGGCGAAACAAACAGACCCUAAAUUCAAGUCACUUACCAUAUGGAACCUUUUAAAUUUCACCUUAACUGAAACGAGAUGUAUACAUGACUUGGUUUCAAAAGAAUGUACCUUUUGAUGUCAAUAGGGCUACGCAUCGUUUUGCUAAAUUUUCAUAUAUUCCGAAAGGUCUGCACAAGUUAGGCUAGAAUGUGUCGCUGACUUGACAUCCUGAUCCAAUGAAGUAUACUGGCACAACAAGUCAUCAGCCAUGCCAGAGCAAAACCUUGUACAAAGGCCAACCACGAACGGAACUUUCUUGUAUCCGUUGACGCCAAAAGUCCAUGGUGCAGAAUGGAGGAAAUAAAAAGCUGUGUGUGAAUUUCAGCAAAAGCUUAAAUCCCGCUCGAAAUGGGUAAGAAGAAAGCUAAACAAGCUGGGAAACUUUUCUGAAGAUCGUAUUGUGUCUCGUCUUAAAAAGCUACUGAGCAUAUACAAGGAAAUUCAAUCAUGAAAACAAGUACAGUAUUAUUCUCUGUGGUUGCAAAUAGUUCGGAAAGCGAGUUUGGUUGCUGUUGAUUCUUUGUGCCUGCAGUUCUUCUUCUGUACAGUAUUAUUCUUUUCGUUUUGUUAUCCUUCCUUAGUCCUAGAGAUAUCAAUAGUAACAUAAGAUAAAACCUUACUCUCAGGAUGUUGCACUUGUGUAUUAAUCACUUGGCUGAAUUUCUGGUUUCUUUUCCUGUUUUCUCUUUUCUGGGGUUUGAAGCAUUACUGCUUUCCAGCUGACUGAUCGUGCAAAUUUCCUUGCUCCUUGAAUUGGCAAAUGCCUUCUAGACUGCCCUUAUUGACCUUGUCAUAGAAGUCCAAAUUCACAAAUCUGGGGUCCAUUCGGCAGCCGAUGAGGAUCGAUUGGGUCUGUUCAAUUUGUUCUAAUCGGCAUCUGAAUUGUGAUGAUGACUGGGUUCAGAUUCGUCUGUUUCUUAGAGAAAAUCCAUGUGGAUUACAGGCUUUGAGCUAUGGAUAAUCUGAAAAUCCAGCAGCGAUAACAAUUGAUGACAUGGAUGAUGCUCUUUUCCUUCCAAGUACUUUGUUAUUCAACCUCCGUGCAUGUACGGACAAAACAUCCAUCCGCAUCCAAGAGAAGAGAUUGAAGCAAAUCAUCUUUUUGCCUCUUUAAAGGUGGGUUCCAGCUUCCCCCUUUCACAACUGGCAAUAGUGAAUAGUGAAAUGAAAGUUUCUGCAACUCUCAAAAUCACAACUUUCGCGACUUUGCUAUUUUCCCAGCAUUCGUCACUUUGCGAACACCUCAAGUUCCCUCGUCAUGGUUUUGGCAGAUGUUCUAAUAUUUUGUUUAUUUAUUUAUUCAUUAGUAAAAUCACACUUUGAAAGUUAAAAACUCAGAUCAGAGUGCUAUUUUCUAACUUCUAUCUGAGCAUAUCUUAGUUCAGGCAACUCAUUAAAGCGUCUGAACAAGUCACACUUGGAUUCUUGCA
Coffea arabica (coffee) is the source of this 1851-nucleotide non-coding RNA. NCBI's taxonomy places the organism in Eukaryota, Viridiplantae, Streptophyta, Magnoliopsida, Gentianales, Rubiaceae. The record is from RefSeq and is a predicted model, not a curated record.